Non-coding RNA from Backusella circina FSU 941, 74 nucleotides. NCBI's taxonomy places the organism in Eukaryota, Fungi, Mucoromycota, Mucoromycetes, Mucorales, Backusellaceae. The record is from the annotation of a GenBank genome assembly.
GAGUGAGUAGAUAAGUGGAUUAUAUCAUCUCUUUCCGGAGGAGAAGGUCGCGGGUUCGAAUCCCGUCUCACUUG